RNAcentral lists this ribosomal RNA (79 nucleotides) under Treponema sp. Its description in RNAcentral is "partial 23S ribosomal RNA". It matches the Rfam family "Bacterial large subunit ribosomal RNA", at positions 2847 to 2925 of the family's 2925-position model. Lineage: Bacteria; Pseudomonadati; Spirochaetota; Spirochaetia; Treponematales; Treponemataceae. The record is from RNAcentral.
ACCGGGUUGAUAGGCGGCAGGCGCAAGCGCGGCGACGCGCUCACCCGAGCCGUACUAAUAGGCCGCGAGGCUUGGCCAU